GGCUGGUUUUUUUGUGUUUGCUCUGCAUCAUGACCUUUGCUUAAUACACUAUCCUGUACUUUAUUUCUAGCCAGUACUAAACCCCAAACCCUCUAAGAAUGGUGGUGAUGCUGGGUGGAGGUCAGAAGAAGCAUUUUUUCUUUUUCCUCCAUUCUCAUAUUUUCCUAGAAAUGUGUAAAUGAGAAUGAGUAUUUGUGACCUACCAAUGAAAGGUUCUCAAAAUCACAAAUUGGAACAGGUAUUAUGGCAAUAUGCAUCAAGUUCUACUACAGUCAUGUGACUGGUUAAGGGGAUUCUGGAUCGGUGGUUUUGGAGAAGAGCUGUAGCUGCAUCACCCAGCAGAACAAAUACAUGUGAAAGGAAUACAUUCUCCCUUCAGAAGGUUUUGGAAAUGCAAACAGAAACAUGAUGAAAAUUACCCAGCUGAGCCAAGGUGAAAAAAACAUCAUGAAGUGCAUCCAAAGUGUCUCUAUUUUGGUGGCAAAACAUAAGUCAGGAUGUCCUAAAACUUCCCCUAUCCUUUCCUUUCUUGCCUUCCCCAUAUCCUUACUGUCAUUGCUACUGUCACCCAAAUUAUCCAUGUUUGGGUGACUCUGUCUUACUACAGAGGGACGAGGUCCUCUGCCCUUCCUGAACUGCAGCUGUUUUCCAGCUCUGCCAUCUUAUUCCCAUGUAGUGGUAAAGUGUGUAAAGUAAUCACCAAGUGUGAGAGAAAGUACAACAAAGAAAAAUAAAUACGUUGAGGUCAUUGUUUCAAUGCCCCUGCAGGAAGCCUGAGGUAUUGUUGAACUAGUCUGGUACUGUUCUACCCUUUAGCAUUGUUUCGGCUGUACUCAGGAGAAAUAAUCAGCAAUAUAGUAAUUUUUUUACAUUUAGAGUAUACAAAUAAUUUGUGAGUAUAAUAAAUAUUUUGUUUAUGCAGCACGUUUGAAUACAGUUUUACCUGUUUAUGAGAAAUGACUUUAUUUCACAUGUGCUUCAAAAUAUUUUGCUUUUUACAAUGCUACUAUGGAUAGAUAAUGUAUGUUGCGUGUUGAACACAAAUAUGGCAACACUUUGUGUUACAUGAUGACAAAUCAAUUUGAAUUUCUUUGCAGCUAACCAAAGCAUCAUAUCCAAAACCUUAUAUUAAAUAUGGAAUUUCUAUGGAAUUGCUAUAAAAAAUAGACCACAUCUUAUUCAGAGGUGAGUUUGGACAAUAAAAUAUAGAACGAGGUGCAGUACCUGAAACUGCUCCUCAAGGGACAAAGGCUACCCCAGCCACUGAGUAAUCAGUUGGUUCCAGAACCCACACAGCAAGGAUAAACACCUUAGUGACUGAGGAGAGAGUACCUGGGCUCCAGGGGCAUCUUCAGAGAUGGGGAUAGGAGUCAGCCUCUCCCAGGAAGCUAGUUUUGCAGGCUGUUGUCCUGUUUAUGUAAUUAAUUGCUUCUUGUUUUGCUAGUUUCAUUAACAGUCUUUUGAAAAGUUAACCCAAAACAUUUCCCUAAGAUGAACUGAUAGAAUUUCUCUUUCAGCUGUGAGAAAGACUUUUGUCAUUCAAGGCCUCAUUCAGGCCAGUAAUGGAAAUGCAAAAGCUCGGAAAGGGUUCCAGGCCCAAGAUCAGACUACCUGGCUUCCAGGGGGAGACUUUGGUUAACUGCAGCCUACAUGGAAAGGACAGAUCCCAUGCCCAUUUUACUACUUUUCUUCUCCUUUUCAGAUUAUUUUCAUGUCAUGUGUUUCUUCAUGUGAUCUGAUUUACUAGAUCUUGUUAAUCUACCUAGAAAAAUAAUUUUCUGUAUGAAAACAAUUUGCAUCUAGGAAAAUUAUUAUGCUUGUAUAGCAGUAACAUAGGGUUUUACUGCAUUCUAGCUGCACAUUACAUCUACUUGUCUAGACUCAAACCCAGCACAGACAAGUGCUGACAAUCUCCUCUAAGUGAAAUGCAUUCAUCAGAUGUACCAGCUUUGGUACACAGUGGAACUUUGGAACUUUAUACACAGUGAGAACAUCCAUGGCUUCCUUUAUAUAUGGGUGUGAAUACAUUCAUCACUCCUAAAAUUUAACCUUUGUAGAAAUCCUGCUAAUGCAACAGAGCUUUUUGUUCCCAUUCAUCUUGUGGAAGUGAACUCCAACUGGGAACACCCUGUUUUUAUGUGGAUGCCUUUCCCUUGAUGAGUUUUCUCAUAUCUCUUUGAUAUUUUCUUGAUUUCACAAUGAGUCUUCUCCUUCUUGUAUUCUGGAUUAAUAAAUAAAAUAUGUAAGAUUCUUCUUUAUGUUUUCGGCACUGUACACAAAUUUAUAUUAUCUCUCAGGUCUGUCUCCCUCUGAAUGUUGAAUUGUUGUGUCUUCAUACCCAGGCAGAGUCUUCAUACCCAGCUGCUGCUUGUCUAGUUUGUGUGGAAGGAGCACAGAUAUCUCCAGAAGGCUGUCAGGUUCCAUACAGAGGCUUUCCAGAUGAUCUCAGAUGUAUCUGCACUACAGAAGAAGAGUGACCCAGGGAUACACAGCAGCCAUUCUUCAGAAGGGAAAUGGAAUCAAAGGUCAUCAUGGCUAUUGAUGGGUGAAUUCCCAAGCACCUAGUAGAGGAAGAUGCUAUGCCUAAACUAAGCUUUCCCACACAGAUGAGCUGCAGCUGAAGAGAAUGACUGCCUGCUCCACGGACCUGUGCAUGAAGAGUUCUGAUGCUGACUUCUCAGCUUCAAGGAGCUUCUGACAAAGCUUACACCUAUAUGAUUUUGUGAGAAGGCCUUCAAAGGGGUUGAAAACACUGUGCUAUACUUUCCCCUAGAGAAUAAGCACAUAAUUUCUGCUUAUUUUAGCACUUAAGUCUACUAACAAAAAAAUCCUACUGUGGUAAAAUAGGCUGUCAUUCUCAUAGCAGGCUGACUUGAUUAAUAUAGUUGCAAAGCUUGUUUUGCAAUUCAGACCUUGUCAAACCAAAUCCAAAAUUAUUUUCCUGGAUAAAUCCAAUUAAAUAUAAAUACUGAAUCAGAGCACAUUUUAUGUAAUUACCAAGCAAUUCUGUGAAAAGACUAUUAAAGCAGCCUAAAUUGCCUCUCUUACUCUGCCAGCCCUUCCUGCUUCCCAGGGGCACCUUUCUGGAGCAGUGCUGUGUUUGGCAGGGAGGCAGGGGAUCUUCAGAGCUCCCCAUUUUGGGCUGGUUUGCUCUCCUCAGCCUUAGUACUGCUCCAAAGCGAGAAAGGAUUCCUGACAAGACAGUGUCUAAUGGAGAUGGACACCUCUCCUAUCCUCUUUUUUCAUUUGAAGUCCUCCCCUAGUUGAAUAUGCUUCUGUCAGAUCAGUCAAGGCAUCAGCAAACUUUGCUCUGUAUUUGUACAAAGACAGAAAUAUUUUAUGAUACUUGUCAUGUGCGUCUAUUUAAAUAAAAUAAAUUCUAUAAAAAUUUCCAUGGGCAA
This is a non-coding RNA of Lonchura striata (white-rumped munia), 3401 nucleotides long. NCBI's taxonomy places the organism in Eukaryota, Metazoa, Chordata, Aves, Passeriformes, Estrildidae. The record is from RefSeq and is a predicted model, not a curated record.